RNAcentral lists this transfer RNA (95 nucleotides) under Neomoorella glycerini. Its description in RNAcentral is "Moorella glycerini tRNA-Gln". The record is from RNAcentral. Lineage: Bacteria; Bacillati; Bacillota; Clostridia; Neomoorellales; Neomoorellaceae.
GCCGUUGCUGCCGCGGAUUAUGCACAGGGCCGCGGCCUGCCCGGGGAAAGCUGGUGUGCCAGCCGGCGGGCCGGGCGCCGGUCCCGGCGGCGGCG